This 253-nucleotide ribosomal RNA is filed under the name uncultured bacterium. RNAcentral describes it as "partial 16S ribosomal RNA". It matches the Rfam family "Bacterial small subunit ribosomal RNA", at positions 524 to 776 of the family's 1533-position model. The record is from RNAcentral.
CACGUAGGGGACGAGCGUUGUCCGGAUUCAUUGGGCGUAAAGCGCGCGUAGGCGGCUCGGAAAGUCGGUCGUGAAAUGCCGGGGCUCAACCCCGGGACUGCGUCCGAUACUCCCGAGCUGGAGGCAGGUAGGGGAGAUCGGAAUUCUUGGUGUAGCGGUGAAAUGCGCAGAUAUCAGGAGGAACACCGGUGGCGAAGGCGGAUCUCUGGGCCUUGCCUGACGCUGAGGCGCGAAAGCUAGGGGAGCGAACAGG